Impatiens glandulifera is the source of this 325-nucleotide long non-coding RNA. RefSeq lists it as uncharacterized. The transcript is spliced from 2 exons. NCBI's taxonomy places the organism in Eukaryota, Viridiplantae, Streptophyta, Magnoliopsida, Ericales, Balsaminaceae. The record is from RefSeq and is a predicted model, not a curated record.
UAAAUAUUACACAUGGCAGUCAUGAUAUGCAUCCGCUUCAGUUAUGUCAUCUACAGGGAGGAGGAUUAGGAUUUAUCCCCGAGUGUCUAUGUGGCGUUUGUGAGGAAGAGAUAAACAGCCGAUUGGGUUACUAUGUUUGUAAGAGAUGUAAAUACUAUGUUCACAUCAAAUGCUCAACUAAGAAAUGGGAUCCAAUAAUUGAAGAAGAAAAAGAAGUUCAAAUAAAUGACAAAUUGAUCCAAUUUCCGUUGCAUUCUAGUGAGGUAGUACGGAACACGCUAACCCAAUUUAUUAAAAAUAUAUGUCAAUGGAAGGACGAGGAAGA